GGAUCUGAUGGCUUCAGAUUGGCAGAUUGUGUUAAAGUGGAAGAUAUGAUGGCUGUAGAUCCAGAGUCUCGUGAAGAUGAGGUCAACUGACUGGACUGUGCUUCCUGUGGUGGGUGAAGAUGAAGUAUCUCUGCUGACAUAGCCAGAGGCGUGUUCUCUAACCCACUCUGUGGCAUUCAGUAUACAAACAUCUCCAUGACAAUGUUUUUGCAGGAAUGCAGUCAGAUCUGUGUUCAGCUGAGUCUGCUGGGAUCUACUCAAUAAUACUGAUCUAAU
This 276-nucleotide long non-coding RNA is filed under the name Pan troglodytes (chimpanzee). RNAcentral's name for it is "long non-coding RNA NONPTRT009369". The record is from RNAcentral. Lineage: Eukaryota; Metazoa; Chordata; Mammalia; Primates; Hominidae.